UCUGGUUGAUCCUGCCAGAUCCGACUGCUAUCCGGAUGGGACUAAGCCAUGCGAGUUGAAUGGGAAGUCUUACUUUCCAUAGCGCACUGCUCAGUAACAAGUUAUCAACUUACCCUUUAGAGGGGCAUAACCUCGGGAAACUGAGGAUAAUACCCCAUAGUUGGAUGAGCCUGGAAUGGUUCUCCAUCGAAAUGUCGUAUCGAAAUAGAGAUACGUUCGCUGAAGGAUAGGAUUGCUCCCGAUUAUGGUAGUUGGUGAGGUAAUGGCUCACCAAGCCUAUGAUCGGUAAGGGCCGUGAGAGCGGGAGCCCUGAGAUGGGUACUGAGACAAGGACCCAGGCCUUACGAGGCGCAGCAGGCGCGAAACCUUUACAAUGCGCGAAAGCGUGAUAAGGUUAUCCGGAGUGCUGAAAGCACAACUUUUAGCUGUUAUCGGGCAUAGAUAACCCGAUGAGAAAGGAGAGGGCAAGGCUGGUGCCAGCCGCCGCGGUAAAACCAGCUCUUCAAGUGGUCGGGACGAUUAUUGGGCUUAAAGUGUCCGUAGCCGGUUAGGUAAGUUCUUGGUUAAAUCUGACAGCUUAACUGUCAGCGUGCUAAGAAGACUGCCUUACUAGGGGGCGGGAAAGGUCUGAGGUACUCCAGGGGUAGCGGUGAAAUGUGAUAAUCCUUGGGGGACCACCAGUGGCGAAGGCGUCAGACUGGAACGCGCCCGACGGUGAGGGACGAAAGCUAGGGGAGCGAACGGGAUCAGAUACCCCGGUAGUCCUAGCUGUAAACGAUGCGUGCUAGGUGUUGGUAGGGCUAUGAGCUGUAUCAGUGCCGUAGGGAAACUGUUAAGCACGCCGCCUGGGAAGUACGCUCGCAAGAGUGAAACUUAAAGGAAUUGGCGGGGGAGCACCACAAGGGGUGAAGCCUGCGGUUCAAUUGGACCCAACGCCGGGAAACUUACCGGGGGCGACAGCAGAAUGAAGGUCAGGCUGACGACCUUACCAGACAAGCUGAGCGGAGGUGCAUGGCCGUCGCCAGUUCGUGCCGUGAGGUAUCCUGUUAAGUCAGGCAACGAACGAGACCCACAUGUCUAGUUGCCAGCAAGAGGCUUCGGCUUCGUUGGGAACGCUAGACAGACUGCCAUCGUACAGAUGGAGGAAGGGGUGGGCCACGGCAGGUCAGUAUGCCCCUAAUCCCCCGGGCCACACGCGGGCUGCAAUGGUAUGGACAAUGGGUUGCAACUCUGAAAAGAGGAGCCAAUCUCGAAACCAUAUCUCAGUUGGGAUUGUUGGCUGUAACCCGCCGACAUGAACGUGGAAUCCCUAGUAAUCGUGUGUCAUCAUCGCACGGUGAAUACGUCUCUGCUCCUUGCACACACCGCCCGUCGCUCCAUCCGAGUGCCCUACAAUUGAAACGUGGUCCAUUGGGUCACUUUGAAAUUGUAUAACGCGAGGAGGGAGAAGUCGUAACAAGGUA
This 1463-nucleotide ribosomal RNA is filed under the name metagenome. RNAcentral describes it as "bacterial SSU rRNA". It matches the Rfam family "Archaeal small subunit ribosomal RNA". The record is from RNAcentral.